This 97-nucleotide microRNA precursor is filed under the name Nicotiana sylvestris (wood tobacco). RNAcentral's name for it is "MIR6152 microRNA precursor family". It matches the Rfam family "MIR6152 microRNA precursor family". The record is from Rfam by way of RNAcentral. Lineage: Eukaryota; Viridiplantae; Streptophyta; Magnoliopsida; Solanales; Solanaceae.
UGGACAGAUUAUUGUAUUUGAUUGUAUUCAUGGCGUGAAAUAGAGGAUUACACUGUUAUUAAAAUGGAAAGGGAAUCAAUUAACAUAAUAGACUCCU